RNAcentral lists this ribosomal RNA (158 nucleotides) under Episcia cupreata. RNAcentral's name for it is "5.8S ribosomal RNA". It matches the Rfam family "5.8S ribosomal RNA". Rfam says of the family: 5.8S ribosomal RNA (5.8S rRNA) is a component of the large subunit of the eukaryotic ribosome. It is transcribed by RNA polymerase I as part of the 45S precursor that also contains 18S and 28S rRNA. Functionally, it is thought that 5.8S rRNA may be involved in ribosome translocation. Lineage: Eukaryota; Viridiplantae; Streptophyta; Magnoliopsida; Lamiales; Gesneriaceae. The record is from RNAcentral.
AAACGACUCUCGGCAACGGAUAUCUCGGCUCUCGCAUCGAUGAAGAACGUAUCGAAAUGCGAUACUUGGUGUGAAUUGCAGAAUCCCGUGAACCAUCGAGUCUUUGAACGCAAGUUGCGCCCGAAGCCAUUAGGUCGAGGGCACGUCUGCCUGGGCGU